This 1310-nucleotide ribosomal RNA is filed under the name 'Datura stramonium' witches'-broom phytoplasma. RNAcentral's name for it is "bacterial SSU rRNA". It matches the Rfam family "Bacterial small subunit ribosomal RNA", at positions 173 to 1479 of the family's 1533-position model. Lineage: Bacteria; Bacillati; Mycoplasmatota; Mollicutes; Acholeplasmatales; Acholeplasmataceae. The record is from RNAcentral.
GAAACACAAAGGCAUCUUUUUGUUUUUAAAAGACCUUCUUACGAAGGUAUGCUUAAAGAGGGGCUUGCGCCACAUUAGUUAGUUGGUAGAGUAAAAGCCUACCAAGACGAUGAUGUGUAGCUGGACUGAGAGGUUGAACAGCCACAUUGGGACUGAGACACGGCCCAAACUCCUACGGGAGGCAGCAGUAGGGAAUUUUCGGCAAUGGAGGAAACUCUGACCGAGCAACGCCGCGUGAACGAUGAAGUAUUUCGGUAUGUAAAGUUCUUUUAUUGAAGAAGAAAAAGUAGUGGAAAAACUAUAUUGACGUUAUUCAAUGAAUAAGCCCCGGCUAACUAUGUGCCAGCAGCCGCGGUAAGACAUAGGGGGCGAGCGUUAUCCGGAAUUAUUGGGCGUAAAGGGUGCGUAGGCUGUUAGAUAAGUCUAUAAUUUAAUUUCAGUGCUUAACGCUGUCUUGUUAUAGAAACUGUCUUGACUAGAGUGAGAUAGAGGCAAGCGGAAUUCCAUGUGUAGCGGUAAAAUGUGUAAAUAUAUGGAGGAACACCAGAAGCGUAGGCGGCUUGCUGGGUCUUUACUGACGCUGAGGCACGAAAGCGUGGGUAGCAAACAGGAUUAGAUACCCUGGUAGUCCACGCCGUAAACGAUGAGUACUAAGUGUCGGGGUAAAACUCGGUACUGAAGUUAACACAUUAAGUACUCCGCCUGAGUAGUACGUACGCAAGUAUGAAACUUAAAGGAAUUGACGGGACUCCGCACAAGCGGUGGAUCAUGUUGUUUAAUUCGAAGAUACACGAAAAAUCUUACCAGGUCUUGACAUACUCUGCAAAGCUAUAGAAAUAUAGUGGAGGUUAUCAGGGAUACAGGUGGUGCAUGGUUGUCGUCAGUUCGUGUCGUGAGAUGUUAGGUUAAGUCCUAAAACGAACGCAACCCUUGUCGUUAAUUGCCAGCACAUAAUGGUGGGGACUUUAACGAGACUGCCAAUUAAACAUUGGAGGAAGGUGAGGAUUACGUCAAAUCAUCAUGCCCCUUAUGAUCUGGGCUACAAACGUGAUACAAUGGCUGUGACAAAGAGUAGCUGAAACGCGAGUUUUUAGCCAAUCUCAAAAAAGCAGUCUCAGUUCGGAUUGAAGUCUGUAACUCGACUUCAUGAAGUUGGAAUCGCUAGUAAUCGCGAAUCAGCAUGUCGCGGUGAAUACGUUCUCGGGGUUUGUACACACCGCCCGUCAAACCACGAAAGUUAGCAAUGCCCGAAAGCAGUAGCUUAACUUCGCAAGAAGAGGGAACUGUCUAAGGUAGGGUUGAUGAUUGGG